RNAcentral lists this ribosomal RNA (492 nucleotides) under uncultured bacterium. RNAcentral's name for it is "partial 16S ribosomal RNA". It matches the Rfam family "Bacterial small subunit ribosomal RNA", at positions 29 to 507 of the family's 1533-position model. The record is from RNAcentral.
AGUGAACGCUGGCGGUAGGCCUAACACAUGCAAGUCGAACGGCAGCACAGUAAGAGCUUGCUCUUACGGGUGGCGAGUGGCGGACGGGUGAGGAAUACAUCGGAAUCUACUUUUUCGUUGGGGAUAACGUAGGGAAACUUACGCUAAUACCGCAUACGACCUACGGGUGAAAGCAGGGGAUCUUCGGACCUUUCGCGAUUGAAUGAGCCAAGGUCGGAUUAGCUAGUUGGCGGGGUAAAGGCCCACCAAGGCGACGCUCCGUAGCUGGUCUGAGAGGGUGAUCAGCCACACUGGAACGGAGACACGGUCCAGACUCCUACGGGAGGCAGCAGUGGGGAAUAUUGGACAAUGGGCGCAAGCCUGAUCCAGCCAUACCGCGUGGGUGAAGAAGGCCUUCGGGUUGGAAAGCCCUUUUGUUGGGAAAGAAAAGCAGCAGGUUAAUACCCCGCUGUUCUGACGGUACCCAAAGAAUAAGCACCGGCUAACUUCGUG